UCAUAAUUAGUUCGGAUAAUUAGGAGUUAGAGAUUCCACGGAUCGAUUCUUGAGAUGGAAACAAUGGCGUGCCGAGAGAUCGAUUUCACGUUUCUUCCUCUUUCCCUUCGUUACGAGCCAAAUUCAGCCCCCUUCUAGGAAUUAAAAGGAUGGAUUUAAUAGGAUGGAUUUAAUGCCAUCCUCUCGGAUGGCAGGUGAUAAUUGAUUGACAUAAAAAACGUCACUCGCGAGCGGAGACGAUUCCCUGGAGGCGAUGACCUUGAAGAUGCGCUUCGUCAACUUUCACCAAGUGGUAACAUAGACGCCGUAGACGAGUAACAGGCUAGUCAAUGUCAUCCGUGCUGCAACUCGUGGUUAAGGCCCGAGUCCAUUCUCGGAGUUUCCACGGAUCACGCUGGAAAAGUGGAGGAGGUUCCGGUUGUGUCAGACUGACGAAAUGCAAGUGUCUCUGCGGAGGAAAUUAAUGUGGACGUGCACAAAAAGCGAUAGCAAUAUUAAAGCGAUGUGCACAAUAUAAAUGUUAAUUAACGUCUUCACGGCAAGUAAAUGAUGAAGCAAAAAAAUAUUGUAAUCAAUGUAUAAUACUUAUUAAUUUUGAAUGAUUUACAAUUGUAUAUAAUUUUAUACACGAAAUCCUUAAAUAAGGAUUAUGCUCAAUAAAAAAUUAUUCUAGAAGAAGAAGAAAUGGAACAGUUGCAAUAAUAACACAUAAUUUUGCAGAUUGUAAGAGUGUCAGAGCGUCAUAGCCUGAUUAAGAUUGUACGAGGCCAUGAAAUGUACUUAUGGUGCAGUUUACAGUAUAUUUUUCAAUUCUCGAGGAUAAACCGUCCAAAGAAAAUAUUAAUUAUUAUAAAAUAUUAUCACAUAUAUAUAAUUAAUUCUUUAAUAUAUGACUUCCUCUUCACAGUUUUUCUCCGCUAUAACUGGGCAAACUUAACACUAAUGCACAGCGUGAUAAUCAUUAUAAUCAUCAUUCCUCGAUGUUGUUACAUAUCACUGAGAAUUAAAAUCCGGAUAUUUUUGUAUCGUGUAAAAAUCCGAGAAUAAUGGCUGUGCAUAUAAUGAUAAGAUAAAGACAAUAUUAACCUGAGCAUGUAAAACUUGAGCAUCUUCCUUCCCGUUUCCUUUACGAUAUAUUUAGAAUAGUGUUAUAUAAAAAUUUUACAUUGCAUUACUUUGUUAUGUAACAAUUUUAUGAUGUUAUUUCUCACCGGAAGAACAUGGGAAACUGUAAAAGAAUUGUACUUGGAUAGUUUCAUGCUCUCAACUCUUUUCACUCGCCCAGUCGAACAACCCCUCGACUGCGACUCGCACCACAAUAAAUCAGGAUUUGUAAGAGAGGUUUGCGUAUAUGCAUCCUAUAUAUACAUACGCACGUAUAUACUAUAUAUACAACAAUCGCGCGUCGUCUUCGCGCUGAUGUAACACUUUUGCCUGCAGCUCCGGUAACUUCUCGAACACCUGUUAAGCGCGCUCGUAAUAGCUGGCGACGUCCGCCGGCGUGCAUGUGUCUUAUAGAAUACUUAAGAUUUCUCUCUGUUAUAAAAUCAUGUCACUUGAAUUCGGAUGCAGUUGUUCCAUUUCACUGCAUGUAAAAAGAAUUGCUCCAAAAUAAAUAAAAAAUUGUAAAUAGUAAAUAAUAAAUUUUUAUUAAAGAAAA
This is a long non-coding RNA of Wasmannia auropunctata (little fire ant), 1660 nucleotides long. RefSeq lists it as uncharacterized. The transcript has 2 exons. Lineage: Eukaryota; Metazoa; Arthropoda; Insecta; Hymenoptera; Formicidae. The record is from RefSeq and is a predicted model, not a curated record.